CAAAAUUUGCCCUGAAGAACGAGAACCUGUGCCACUGCUACCAAUAAGCAAAAGGCUAAAACACAGCACAAGCCACCAAGUAAUGCCGCGAAUUCUCUUUGUCUCUCACAUGACUUAACCCUGGAGCAUUAGGGCAUGGUCUCUUUCUGACUUCUUAAUUGUGGAAUCCCCCUCACCAAAUCGCUGCAAAGGAUCAGACCAUUUUCCUGUGACAGACGCAAGCCAACCCAAGCCCCAACUAAAAUCUACUCCGAAACACCAGAAAGCCAGUGCCAGUAAGAAGCAAAAGGCUAAAGCCCCUGCAAGCUACCAAGUAUUGGUGGUGAGGGGAAAUGGCAAACUAAAACACCACACAAGCCACCAAGUGUGGGGAUAGAGAAAUGGCAAACUAAAAUGCAGCGCAAGCCACCAAGUGAUUACAGUGAGAGGAUCCUUCACAACUUAAGCCAACUCCUAUUUCUCAUUCUUGACUGAUGUAUUUGGGGAAGGCAUUCUAAUUUUACCAAGAAUUGCCAUGAUGUCCAAUAUAUUCUUGCAGAGAAUUUUGAGCUUUCAUGCUCCAGGGAUGGUCAUGUGCAAGACUCUGCUUCUGCCUCUUCAGAUGAGAGAUUGCAAAGGAUCAGACCCUUUUUCUUCGCCAGAAGCAAACUUUCAAGGGGCAUAUAUCUCCUUUGUGAGAUGCAUGACCUCUUAAAGACAGUCGCCCUAGUCUGGUUGAGGAAUUCAAUUUCAACCUGAACGAAACGGAGGAAGAUUUACUAAAGAUGGAAGAGCAGCGAACGGAGAACGAUGUUUGAAAAUACAUGCAGAUGUGAGUCUUGGUGAAUCAAAGAGUACAGAGGCAGGAAUACUACAGCCGAUGUCAACCUGCCUGAAAUAUACACCCG
Long non-coding RNA from Oncorhynchus masou masou (cherry salmon), 887 nucleotides. RefSeq lists it as uncharacterized. The transcript is spliced from 5 exons. The record is from RefSeq and is a predicted model, not a curated record. Lineage: Eukaryota; Metazoa; Chordata; Actinopteri; Salmoniformes; Salmonidae.